RNAcentral lists this ribosomal RNA (511 nucleotides) under uncultured bacterium. RNAcentral's name for it is "bacterial SSU rRNA". It matches the Rfam family "Bacterial small subunit ribosomal RNA", at positions 28 to 545 of the family's 1533-position model. The record is from RNAcentral.
GACGAACGCUGGCGGCGUGCUUAACACAUGCAAGUCGAACGAGGUCCAACCGGUGGCAACACCGGGGAAGACCGAGUGGCGAACGGGUGAGUAACACGUGAGCAACCUGCCCCGGAGACCGGGAUAACACCGGGAAACCGGUGCUAAUACCGGAUGUCCCCAUCGGACUGCAUGAUCUGAUGUGGAAGUGGAUUCCGCUCCGGGAGGGGCUCGCGGCCUAUCAGCUUGUUGGCGGGGUAACGGCCCACCAAGGCGUCGACGGGUAGCUGGUCUGAGAGGACGAUCAGCCACACUGGGACUGAGACACGGCCCAGACUCCUACGGGAGGCAGCAGUGGGGAAUCUUGCGCAAUGGGGGAAACCCUGACGCAGCAACGCCGCGUGCGGGAUGAAGGCUCUCGGGUUGUAAACCGCUUUCAGCAGGGACGAAUUCAGACGGUACCUGCAGAAGAAGCCCCGGCCAACUACGUACCAGCAGCCGCGGUAAUACGUAGGGGGCGAGCGUGUCGAUC